Molecule: RNA transcript, 1282 nt
Organism: Panicum virgatum (switchgrass)
Lineage: Eukaryota; Viridiplantae; Streptophyta; Magnoliopsida; Poales; Poaceae
Exons: 4
Source: RefSeq, a predicted model, not a curated record
AAAUUCAGCGGUCGGCCCCUGCUCUUUCGUCUUUCGUCAUUUGGUUUUGGUCCCGUCCGCCCCAUCGUCGCCCCCUCAUCCCGUCGGGUUCAGAAAAAAAAAAACAUCAUCCCUCGCUCCCGCUGCAUGCCCGGCACCGCGCCGUCCCUCUCCCAGUCUCCCUCCAUCCCCGGCCGCGGCCGGGUCCCCGGCCGGCGAUCCGCUCGGUCCCCAUCCGCCGAUCCGCUCCGUCCCCGGCCGCCGAUCCGCUCCCGCCACCACCAUGAGGCGCGCCUCGAAGAAGUCGUCGUCAUCCGCCGCGACCGCCAGCGCUGGCUCUCUCGGCCUACAUCCCCGGCCGGCGAUCCACACCGUCCCGGCCGCUGCUACGUCCACUGCGCCGCUUCUACCCGGCCUACGACUACUCAUCCUUGUACGAUUCUUGAAUCACAGUUGGUGUAAGGGAGCUUCUAUUGGAUGGCACAGUGAUGAUAAUAAACCUAAUCUUAGGCACAGGGCAUUCACAGUAAGGACCAAUCCUUUUUCUCUUUGGAGUUCCAUCAGUUCAGCGUUGACCUUUUCCUGUUAUAUACUUAUAUGUUGAAUCUGCUGUUCCUAUCAAUAAUUAUGGCACACUCUGCUCAAGCGAUUAAUGUCCGUGUCAUCUGGAUCCUCUUCAUGUAGAAGUCAAUGCUGUUAACCUGAAUGUGGCAAAAUUAUUAACAAAUAAUUAUUUUGUAUAUACAUUGGGAGGAUAAGUUGUGGCUACUUCUGAGUAACCUUGAGGAUUGGAAGAAGCAACUGCGGAAGCUCCUCGAUGUCACCAUGGUGACUGAUAGUCAUGGUAUGAUGGCCAACAACAAUCUUCCACUUAGCAGUUGAUUUAUUCAUUGCUUCAUGGUGGCCAUUUUUUGUCAGGAUCAUGUCAAGAGUUAGCCCUCUUUCUGAGGCUUCUCAAACCUAGCAAGUUUUUCUGAAUAAUAUACAAAUUUGUACAUGCGUUCACGAUAAAUGAUCUCAUGCAAAUAAAUCGCCUAUCCAAGUUCUGUUCUCCAAUGAUUUUCUACAUGGGACCAAGCUAAAGGCACGCCCAUCUCUAUGGAUGCUCGCUCACUGUGGCAAUUUCAUGGUUGAAAAUCCUUCAAUGUGUUAAGAUAUAUCUUAGUCGCAUCACAUGCAAAAAUAUCUAAAAGGGAGAUAUGUACGUUUGGAUAAUGUAUUCUAGCCUGUUUGAUUCUAAUACAAUUUUAGUAUUGGUGAAUUAGUGUGAACAUCAUUAAUAUCAAAUAUUUUGCUUGUUUCA